GGUAUCAGAAGUGCGAAUGCUGACAUAAGUAACGAUAAAGCGGGUGAAAAGCCCGCUCGCCGGAAGACCAAGGGUUCCUGUCCAACGUUAAUCGGGGCAGGGUGAGUCGACCCCUAAGGCGAGGCCGAAAGGCGUAGUCGAUGGGAAACGGGUUAAUAUUCCCGUACUUGGUGUUACUGCGAAGGGGGGACGGAGAAGGCUAUGUUGGCCGGGCGACGGUUGUCCCGGUUUAAGCGUGUAGGUGUGUGUUCCAGGUAAAUCCGGUUCACUUUAACACUGAGGCGUGAUGACGAGGCACUACGGUGCUGAAGCAACAAAUGCCCUGCUUCCAGGAAAAGCCUCUAAGCAUCAGGUAACAUCAAAUCGUACCCCAAACCGACACAGGUGGUCAGGUAGAGAAUACCAAGGCGCUUGAGAGAACUCGGGUGAAGGAACUAGGCAAAAUGGUGCCGUAACUUCGGGAGAAGGCACGCUGACACGUAGGUGAAGUGAUUUACUCACGGAGCUGAAGUCAGUCGAAGAUACCAGCUGGCUGCAACUGUUUAUUAAAAACACAGCACUGUGCAAACACGAAAGUGGACGUAUACGGUGUGACGCCUGCCCGGUGCCGGAAGGUUAAUUGAUGGGGUCAGCGCAAGCGAAGCUCCUGAUCGAAGCCCCGGUAAACGGCGGCCGUAACUAUAACGGUCCUAAGGUAGCGAAAUUCCUUGUCGGGUAAGUUCCGACCUGCACGAAUGGCGUAAUGAUGGCCAGGCUGUCUCCACCCGAGACUCAGUGAAAUUGAACUCGCUGUGAAGAUGCAGUGUACCCGCGGCAAGACGGAAAGACCCCGUGAACCUUUACUAUAGCUUGACACUGAACAUUGAGCCUUGAUGUGUAGGAUAGGUGGGAGGCUUUGAAGCGUGGACGCCAGUCUGCGUGGAGCCGACCUUGAAAUACCACCCUUUAAUGUUUGAUGUUCUAACGUGGACCCGUUAUCCGGGUUGCGGACAGUGUCUGGUGGGUAGUUUGACUGGGGCGGUCUCCUCCUAAAGAGUAACGGAGGAGCACGAAGGUUGGCUAAUCCUGGUCGGACAUCAGGAGGUUAGUGCAAUGGCAUAAGCCAGCUUGACUGCGAGCGUGACGGCGCGAGCAGGUGCGAAAGCAGGUCAUAGUGAUCCGGUGGUUCUGAAUGGAAGGGCCAUCGCUCAACGGAUAAAAGGUACUCCGGGGAUAACAGGCUGAUACCGCCCAAGAGUUCAUAUCGACGGCGGUGUUUGGCACCUCGAUGUCGGCUCAUCACAUCCUGGGGCUGAAGUAGGUCCCAAGGGUAUGGCUGUUCGCCAUUUAAAGUGGUACGCGAGCUGGGUUUAGAACGUCGUGAGACAGUUCGGUCCCUAUCUGCCGUGGGCGCUGGAGAACUGAGGGGGGCUGCUCCUAGUACGAGAGGACCGGAGUGGACGCAUCACUGGUGUUCGGGUUGUCAUGCCAAUGGCACUGCCCGGUAGCUAAAUGCGGAAGAGAUAAGUGCUGAAAGCAUCUAAGCACGAAACUUGCCCCGAGAUGAGUUCU
Molecule: ribosomal RNA, 1551 nt
Filed under: Salmonella enterica subsp. enterica serovar Heidelberg
Lineage: Bacteria; Pseudomonadati; Pseudomonadota; Gammaproteobacteria; Enterobacterales; Enterobacteriaceae
Description: bacterial LSU rRNA
Rfam family: Bacterial large subunit ribosomal RNA
Source: RNAcentral